ACUCCAACGGGAGGCAGCAGUGGGGAAUUUUGGACAAUGGGCGAAAGCCUGAUCCAGCAAUGCCGCGUGAGUGAAGAAGGCCUUCGGGUUGUAAAGCUCUUUUGUCAGGGAAGAAACGGUGAAAGCUAAUAUCUUUUGCUAAUGACGGUACCUGAAGAAUAAGCACCGGCUAACUACGUGCCAGCAGCCGCGGUAAUACGUAGGGUGCAAGCGUUAAUCGGAAUUACUGGGCGUAAAGCGUGCGCAGGCGGUUUUGUAAGUCUGAUGUGAAAUCCCCGGGCUCAACCUGGGAAUUGCAUUGGAGACUGCAAGGCUAGAAUCUGGCAGAGGGGGGUAGAAUUCCACGUGUAGCAGUGAAAUGCGUAGAUAUGUGGAGGAACACCGAUGGCGAAGGCAGCCCCCUGGGUCAAGAUUGACGCUCAUGCACGAAAGCGUGGGGAGCAAACAGGAUUAGAUACCCCAGUAGUCCC
RNAcentral lists this ribosomal RNA (470 nucleotides) under uncultured organism. RNAcentral describes it as "partial 16S ribosomal RNA". It matches the Rfam family "Bacterial small subunit ribosomal RNA", at positions 335 to 797 of the family's 1533-position model. The record is from RNAcentral.